GCGGAAGGGAAAUGUUUGGGAGUUGCCAGUGCACCUGUGGCUGUCGGCGCAGACAAACUGCAUCUGAGUCCACACGCCACGCGAUGAUAUGAUCGUUGCUUAACAUACACUUGGCUUCGAUUUCCAGACGCGCUGUUCUCUGCCCGUUGAUUGUUGAGAAUCAUCCUUAGGAAGACAACAACAAUGCUUCGCUACGUCACCUUCUGCAUUGUCGCCUGGUUCGUCAUCACGCACGCAGAUGGCGCGCCCACGACGGUGCUGCCUUCUGGUAUUGUAGUGCAACAGGAGGCUUCGAACCAGAGUGAUCCUGACCCGUGCUCCGUGGCGGGAACCACGUACAGCCAUGGGCAGCAGGUACCACGGGAAGACCCCUGCGAGUUCUGCUUGUGUCUGGACGGAGAGCUGUUCUGCUGGUGGCAGGACUGCCCGCCCUGCAGGGGCAGCCUCUCCUCCACCGCCUGCGUGAACCACUCGUCAACACACGACGCGACCACCACGACACCUGAGGUGACUGCGACCUCUGCAGGCAGCAGCAGUGUGACCUCGCCUCUUACCGCCAGUAGCGACCAACUGACGGAGGUGACACAACUGGCCACUUUGCCUGGCACUGCGACGACCCCCGCCCUGCACCCCAGCGCGCCGACAACAUGCUACGUUAUGGGGACCGAGUACAAGGUUGGGGAGGUGCUUCCCCGUGACACUGGCACAUGUCUGGAGUGUGUGUGCGACAAUGAAGCGAGGGUCACGUGCAGCCCCAAGGACUGUGCCACGCAUGACGACUACAGGUCCAGCAGCAGUCUGGACAUGUUCGACGUGGAUACGUUCUAAAACGUCGCCUGGCAAUGAGAGAGCUGCGACUUCACAUUUUGGCUUGUGGCACAGAGUUAUGAUUCAGAAAGUGACAGGCACCAGGUAGACUCAAACUGGCAUCAUCCACGAACAUUCUUAAAGGUAUAAUAAUGAUGACAAUUACAAAAGGGAAGCCCAUUACACUGCUCCAAAAUGGGAGUUCACUUUUGUGAAUUGAUCUAACAGGCUCCUGUCCAAACUACCGUCAUGAUGCCAUCUACCUACACAUGUAUAAGAAAUUAUUUAAUGAUGUAGAGUUGAAAGCAGCUUUACAUAAGAUGCCCAAGUCUAUCAAAAGACAUAUGAGACUCUGUACUUAAAUGCAUAACCAUAUCAGUAGGGAUGCAUUUUCUUGCUGUUAUAUCUAGUGAUACAUCUUCUAGUUAUGCUACAGUUUUGAAGUUUCAGCUUUCUCCUAAAAGGUGCCAUCACUGGGGGACAAUAUAUAACUCUUAUAUUCCUGUGAGCUAUAGAUUUCACGAUACAAAACAAGAAGAACUGGUUUUGUUGUUCAUAGUAAUGGCCAUUAAUUCUCUAAAAACAGAUGGCACUGGAGUCCAUAUUUUUUCAUGAACUCUUGCUAAUUAUUUUAAGAGCUUCACAAAAUAGAUUCAAAGCUAUUUUAGUGGAUAUUAUGCAGAGCAGUAUUAUGAAACACACCACAAAACCAGUUCAUUGAUUUUGUAAUUAAAUAUUUAUAUUUUUUUCUCAAUGCCCUUAUCCCAUGAACUGGCUACUGAGUCAUAGUUCAUUUCAAGUCGAUGUCAGAGGCAAUUCAGUCAAUAUUUCUUAAAACUGAAGAAUGAAAUUACAUUCAGAAGGAAAUUAACUCAGUGUAAAUUCCUAGGAGUCACUUUAAGAAUCUAUCUUAUUAUUAUUAUUACUAUGCAUAAUUAUAAUACUUUUAUGUAUCUGGGUGGGACAAGAUUAAAAUAGGUUUGUGCAUCAUGGCAGAAACUUUGUCUACUUUCUCUAUACCUGACAAGGUAUCAGCACUUGCAUAACUGUUGUGACAAAAAAUAAAUUUGAAGUUAUUACUGCUGCUGUUGCUAAGGCCUUUAUUAAUAUCAAGCAGAAGUGGUAACCAUCCAGCCAUGACAUUCUGUGACACAGAUGUCAGGAGGAUGAUGAAGAUUACUUAAAAAAAGCAGCUUCAUAAACAUGCCCAUCAGUGGCUAUUAUUGUUCUAAUUUAACCUAGACUUUAUCCCUAGCAGGGAAUUGCUGGUAAAAUUUUCAAGGCAGAUCUUCUUUAAUGGUUUUUUUUCAGUGGUCAAUAGCUUUUGAUUAAGUAUGGAACACUGAUGUAUAUUUAUGCCCACUAUUCAAAGUCCACCAGCUUGGAAGGAAUUGUGGCUUCCCCUUAUGAAUCAUAAUUAAUCAGUGACUCUGAAGGGCGCAAUUGAAAAUCAUGUUUCACUGAAAAGUUCAUGUAUAAAGAGGGACAUUGGGAAUAAAAUACUAAUCAUGUAGGAUCAUUAAUCACACUUGUAGAAGUGAUACUGGUGCAAGCCUAAACUUAUCAUACAUAUAUUAUGGAAUUGAUGGUCAAUGCAGGCAUUCACAAAAUACUAGAAUCUGUUGUCUUUUCCUUUUGAGCUUGGGGCAUAAGACUAAAUGACUGUAGCCAGCUUCCAAUAUGCAGAACCAAAAUAUAAAGUUUGACAUCAUAACAGAUUCUUGAAGUUUGCAACAUACUAUGUAUUAAAAUGGCUUUCAGCAUGUUCGCUAUUAAAAUGGUUUACAAUAUGUUCACUGUUGAAAUGGUUUUCAGUGUGUUCAUAGUUAUAAUGCUCUUCAGUUUCUUCAGGAUUAUAAUGUUUUUCAUUGUUUUGAGUACUGUGAUGCUACCUGAACCAGACUUUUAUCACUUUGAGAACUAACUUCUAGUGAAGAAACAGAAUCUUCCAGAGUGUUAAUAUAUAUUUUGCAAGUUUCUAGCACCCCAUGACUGGAAUUCUUGCCUAAGGUAGAUGUACUGACAGAAAACAAGAGAGGACAGAACACUGUAAUUGUGGAAAUCUUAUCCUUUUUGAGACAUGGAAAGGGCCUUAUAUUCCAGAUUUGGGGCAGUACAAGGUAAAGGUACUUACCUAAAUAAAAUUUUACACAAUAAGCAAUGACAUGGAAGGAAAUCAUAUAGCAGCCAUAGAUCUAAUCAAGAGAAUAUUUAUAUGUUGUGGCUUGAAAGAAGUUUCAUUUCAAUAGCCCCAUGCUCAUAAGAAAGGAGGGUUGUAUGUUACAUAAAGCAAAAAUCAAAUAUUGAACUAGUGAUAGCUGAGAAUUGUAUACACAUAAUCAUAUUCAUUCUCAUUAUAAAUGUAGGAUUGUAACACAUUUGUGUGAUAUUUUAUGAUUUUAUAUAGUUUGAGAGAGUUUAAUAUCAAAUAAUAACAAUAUUUUAAGAUAUGUCAUUGGUCUGUGAUGGGUGAUACUUUAGACACAACAACUUUUAGCAGUGAAUGUCAAUCUUUGUGUAGGGCCUAAAGUACAUACUUGACAGUUUUUCCUUCUUAUAUGUUACAUUGUUUUAUGUGUCAAUUGAACAUAAAGAAAACAAAUGAGCAUCUGUGGUGACAUAGAUAUAGUGUUCAUAGAUAUUAUAUGUGAAAUUGUUGGGAGUUGAUCUAAAGGUUGCUAGGACUUUUAAGCAUUUUAUAUUGUUUUGUAUGGAUGAAAUUGGAUAAUUUAUUUAGCUGAACGUUGCCAAUGAAGAGAAAUAUAAAUCUAUUUGGUUAUUUGGUAAUUAAUACUAAAAUGUUAUAUUCUACAAAACAUUUGUUGAAUGAUUACUACAUAUAACAGAAAACUUAAAACAAAUGAAGAAAUGCAUUAAAUAUUUACAGGUAUGUUAAUUUUAAAAUUAAACAUGUGUUUGUCCCUAAAAUAGUUUAACUAUUAGAGAUGCUUUGAUACUUCAAAAUUAAUGGCAACUACUAAAAUAUAUGUAAAUUAGAGGAAAGAUCAAUAUUCCUUAAAUCGACCAAACAGUGAAGUAGAUAAUGGAUGCAUACAUGAACAAUUGAAAUUAGUUUUAGUAUCAAAUCUAUUCACAUAUCGUGAAGAAGAAAUAAUAUGUGAUAUCAAACAACAAAAGAAUUGUUUAACAAUGUUUCUAUUGAAAUAUGUGUAGUUUAGAGUAACAGAACUUGAUAAUGAACCCAUUCUUGUCUUGAAAUUUCUGAUGGCUUAGCUUAGAACUUCAACCAUUUGGUUACUUCUUCACAUGACAUGAGGGCAUGUCUAGAAAUGCCCAUCCCCUUCCUGAUAUCAUGGGACGUCUUCCAGGACAUUCUGUCUUCUUUUUGGAUGUAUGUUUUAAAACUAAAUGUUUUCUUUUUCACCAUCACAAUCUAAUGGUAAUAAAGUUCUUGAAAAGCUU
RNA transcript from Cryptotermes secundus, 4230 nucleotides. It is a transcript of the gene named kielin/chordin-like protein, with no coding region annotated. NCBI's taxonomy places the organism in Eukaryota, Metazoa, Arthropoda, Insecta, Blattodea, Kalotermitidae. The transcript is spliced from 6 exons. The record is from RefSeq and is a predicted model, not a curated record.